GAUUAUUAAUUUUCAGGGGAUACCGCUUACACUGAAUGUUGCGGCGACACCUCUUUCGACCGACGUUACUCAUCCUGUCCUUGCCACGACGGUUCAAUUGCCGUAGGAAUCCCAAAACAAAACGCCGGCUGUUGUUACAGCAGCGACGGACGGUCAAAGGGGGGAUACAACACAGCAACUCAAAUGUGUUGCAAUGGUCAAGGAUACAACAAAACUGGCCAAUUUUGCUGCGGUGGUACGAUCGGUAACUCAGCCACUCAGAUGUGCUGUGGAGAUACAAUUACCGAUGUAGCCGUAGACCAACAAGGACUUUCCCUCGCAUGCUGCGUGAUGGCUGAUGGUACAACUGAGGCUUACGAUUCAAACACACAAAUCUGCUGUGGGGGAGCUAUUCAUAACCGAGGAAUUAA
Ciona intestinalis (vase tunicate) is the source of this 410-nucleotide non-coding RNA. The record is from RefSeq and is a predicted model, not a curated record. NCBI's taxonomy places the organism in Eukaryota, Metazoa, Chordata, Ascidiacea, Phlebobranchia, Cionidae.